GCAGUCGUACGAGAGUUUUUAACUCAAGUGGCGGACGGGUGAGUAACACGUAAGAAUUUGCCUCUAGGAGGGGGAUAACAACUGGAAACGGUUGCUAAUACCCCAUAUGCUUUCGAGUGAAAUGGAUUUCCGCCUAGAGAGAAGCUUGCGGCUGAUUAGCUUGUUGGUGAGGUAAUGGCUCACCAAGGCGACGAUCAGUAUCUGGUUUGAGAGGACGAUCAGACACACUGGAACUGAGACACGGUCCAGACUCCUACGGGAGGCAGCAGUGGGGAAUUUUCCGCAAUGGGCGAAAGCCUGACGGAGCAAUACCGCGUGAGGGAUGACGGCCUAUGGGUUGUAAACCUCUUUUUUCAGGGAGGAAUCAAUGACGUGUACCUGAAGAAUAAGCAUCGGCUAACUCCGUGCCAGCAGCCGCGGUAAGACGGAGGAUGCAAGUGUUAUCCGGAAUCACUGGGCGUAAAGCGUCUGUAGGUGGUUUAAUAAGUCAACUGUUAAAUCUUGAGGCUCAACCUCAAAAUCGCAGUCGAAACUAUUAGACUAGAGUAUAGUAGGGGUAAAGGGAAUUUCCAGUGGAGCGGUGAAAUGCGUAGAUAUUGGAAGGAACACCGAUGGCGAAGGCACUUUACUGGGCUAUUACUAACACUCAGAGACGAAAGCUAGGGUAGCAAAUGGGAUUAGAUACCCUGGUAGUCCCCU
Molecule: ribosomal RNA, 699 nt
Filed under: uncultured phototrophic eukaryote
Lineage: Eukaryota
Description: bacterial SSU rRNA
Rfam family: Bacterial small subunit ribosomal RNA
Source: RNAcentral